GACGAACGCUGGCGGCGUGCCUAAUACAUGCAAGUAGAACGCUGAAGAGAGGAGCUUGCUCUUCUUGGAUGAGUUGCGAACGGGUGAGUAACGUGUAGGUAACCUGCCUUGUAGCGGGGGAUAACUAUUGGAAACGAUAGCUAAUACCGCAUAACAAUGGAUGACACAUGUCAUUUAUUUGAAAGGGGCAAUUGCUCCACUACAAGAUGGACCUGCGUUGUAUUAGCUAGUAGGUGAGGUAAUGGCUCACCUAGGCGACGAUACAUAGCCGACCUGAGAGGGUGAUCGGCCACACUGGGACUGAGACACGGCCCAGACUGCUACGGGAGGCAGCAGUAGGGAAUCUUCGGCAAUGGGGGCAACCCUGACCGAGAAACGCCGCGUGAGGGAAGAAGGUUGUCGGAUCGUAAAGCUCUGUUGUAAGUCAAGAACGGGUGUGAGAGUGGAAAGUUCACACUGUGACGGUAGCUUACCAGAAAGGGACGGCUAACUACGUG
RNAcentral lists this ribosomal RNA (497 nucleotides) under uncultured bacterium. Its description in RNAcentral is "partial 16S ribosomal RNA". It matches the Rfam family "Bacterial small subunit ribosomal RNA", at positions 28 to 507 of the family's 1533-position model. The record is from RNAcentral.